RNAcentral lists this transfer RNA (96 nucleotides) under Afipia sp. RNAcentral describes it as "tRNA-Tyr". Lineage: Bacteria; Pseudomonadati; Pseudomonadota; Alphaproteobacteria; Hyphomicrobiales; Nitrobacteraceae. The record is from RNAcentral.
GCUGCCGUAGCUCAGUGGUAGAGCACUCCNNCAAAGGGAUCAGACUGUAAAUCUGACGCGCAAGCUUCGGUGGUUCGAAUCCACCCCCCUCCACCA